GUUCAACCGAAGAAGUGCAUCGGAAACUGGGAAACUUGAGUGCAGAAGAGGACAGUGGAACUCCAUGUGUAGCGGUGAAAUGCGUAGAUAUAUGGAAGAACACCAGUGGCGAAGGCGGCUGUCUGGUCUGUAACUGACGCUGAGGCUCGAAAGUAUGGGUAGCAAACAGGAUUAGAUACCCUGGUAGUCCAUACCGUAAACGAUGAAUGCUAAGUGUUGGAGGGUUUCCGCCCUUCAGUGCUGCAGCUAACGCAUUAAGCAUUCCGCCUGGGGAGUACGGCCGCAAGGCUGAAACUCAAAGGAAUUGACGGGGGCCCGCACAAGCGGUGGAGCAUGUGGUUUAAUUCGAAGCUACGCGAAGAACCUUACCAGGUCUUGACAUACUAUGCAAAUCUAAGAGAUUAGACGUUCCCUUCGGGGACAUGGAUACAGGUGGUGCAUGGUUGUCGUCAGCUCGUGUCGUGAGAUGUUGGGUUAAGUCCCGCAACGAGCGCAACCCUUAUUAUCAGUUGCCAGCAUUAAGUUGGGCACUCUGGUGAGACUGCCGGUGGCAAACCGGAGGAAGGUGGGGAUGACGUCAAAUCAUCAUGCCCCUUAUGACCUGGGCUACACACGUGCUACAAUGGAUGGUACAACG
RNAcentral lists this ribosomal RNA (637 nucleotides) under uncultured bacterium. Its description in RNAcentral is "bacterial SSU rRNA". It matches the Rfam family "Bacterial small subunit ribosomal RNA", at positions 607 to 1244 of the family's 1533-position model. The record is from RNAcentral.